Molecule: microRNA, 23 nt
Filed under: Sus scrofa (pig)
Lineage: Eukaryota; Metazoa; Chordata; Mammalia; Artiodactyla; Suidae
Description: ssc-mir40
Source: RNAcentral
GACCCUGUCCGCCCCUUCCCAGG